Molecule: ribosomal RNA, 253 nt
Filed under: uncultured bacterium
Lineage: Bacteria
Description: partial 16S ribosomal RNA
Rfam family: Bacterial small subunit ribosomal RNA
Source: RNAcentral
UACGGAGGGUGCAAGCGUUAUCCGGAUUCACUGGGUUUAAAGUGUGCGUAGGCGGGUAUGUAAGUCAGUGGUGAAAUCCUGGAGCUUAACUCCAGAACUGCCAUUGAUACUAUAUAUCUUGAAUAUUGUGGAGGUUUGCGGAAUAUGUCAUGUAGCGGUGAAAUGCUUAGAUAUGACAUAGAACACCUAUUGCGAAGGCAGCAGGCUACACAUAUAUUGACGCUGAGGCACGAAAGCGUGGGGAUCAAACAGG